RNAcentral lists this small nuclear RNA (106 nucleotides) under Canis lupus familiaris (dog). Lineage: Eukaryota; Metazoa; Chordata; Mammalia; Carnivora; Canidae. The record is from RNAcentral. RNAcentral also lists the same sequence under 1 other name.
AUGCUUGCUUCAGCAGCACGUAUACUAAAAUUGGAUGGAUACAGAGAAGAUUAGCAUGGUCCCUACACGGGAUGACAUGCAAAUUCUUGAAGCAUAAAAAAGAAAA